GAUGAACGCUGGCGGCGUGCCUAAUACAUGCAAGUCGAGCGAACAGAUGAGGAGCUUGCUCCUCUGACGUUAGCGGCGGACGGGUGAGUAACACGUGGAUAACCUACCUAUAAGACUGGUAUAACUUCGGGAAACCGGCGCUAAUACCGGAUAAUAUAUUGAACCGCAUGGUUCAAUAGUGAAAGACGGUUUUGCUGUCACUUAUAGAUGGAUCCGCGCCGCAUUAGCUAGUUGGUACGGUAACGGCUUACCAAGGCAACGAUGCGUAGCCGACCUGAGAGGGUGAUCGGCCACACUGGAAGGGAGACACGGUCCAGACUCCUACGGGAGGCAGCAGUAGGGAACCUGCCGCAAUGGGCGAGAGCUUGACGGAGCAACGCCGCGUGAGUGAUGACGAUCUUCGGAUCGUAAAACUCGGUUAUUAGGGAAGAACAAAUGUGUAAGUAGCUAUGCACGUCUUGACGGUACCGAAUCAGAAAGCCCCGGCUAACUACGUG
RNAcentral lists this ribosomal RNA (497 nucleotides) under uncultured bacterium. Its description in RNAcentral is "partial 16S ribosomal RNA". It matches the Rfam family "Bacterial small subunit ribosomal RNA", at positions 28 to 507 of the family's 1533-position model. The record is from RNAcentral.